RNAcentral lists this transfer RNA (74 nucleotides) under Propioniferax innocua. It matches the Rfam family "tRNA". From Rfam's summary of the family: Transfer RNA (tRNA) molecules are approximately 80 nucleotides in length. Their secondary structure includes four short double-helical elements and three loops (D, anti-codon, and T loops). Lineage: Bacteria; Bacillati; Actinomycetota; Actinomycetes; Propionibacteriales; Propionibacteriaceae. The record is from Rfam by way of RNAcentral.
GCGCCUAUAGCUCAGACGGUUAGAGCGCAGUCCUGAUAAGACUGAGGUCCCUGGUUCAAGUCCAGGUAGGCGCA